UCCAAAGGAAGUCCUAUGAGGUUUGGUUGGUUUUCAUGUGAGCAAUCAGGGAAGGCUUCCGGGGGGAGGUGAAAUUUGAACUGUUCUUUAAAAGAUGAGCAGGAUUUGAGAGAGAAAGAGAAAGAAGAUGGAGCUGCCCCAUUCCUUUUCUCCUCCAUCUUCUCCUCCUUGACCUCAGAGAAUUUGGCUCCGCCUCAGGCACCCUCUGUAGACUUCAGGGGACAGAGGACCUGAGAGUAGCCUGGGAAGGAGGCAGAAGGUCCCCACCUCUCACCGCCCUCCCUCUCAGUGAAUAUCAGCCCCACAACUGAGUGUCCACCUCUGGAUCUGCUGGGCUCAGAAGACUGAGGUGCAAGUCUUCUGCCGAAGCCCCAAGGCCCACCCGCUAUGGUCAGAGCUCCAGGUCAAAGCUGGGCCUUCCCUGUAAGCCCUUGGAGCCAAGAUCUCAACCUGGAAUUGCCUCAGAAAGACCUGGAGAGCUCAGAAAUAUCCAGAGGCCAGGAGCCCACCCCCACACCUGCAGACUCUGACCAUCCCGAUGGGGCCGGUGCCUUGUGAAGGGUUUUCCAGGGCUGCUGAUGGCCUCCAGGACUGAGAACCGUGGCCAGUGCCCAAAGAACAAGAAGAAACUAUAUGUGCUGUUUUGCAGAAACCGAUGUCCCCGUUUUGCAGAUGUUGCUAUCUUGCAGAGAAAUUAACACACUCGCUUGCAGCGAGACCCCUGCAAAAUGGUUCCAGCGCCAAGCGUCCUAAAGUUACCUUAAGCUCAUUAGCAUCUUAAAUUCUCCUCCUCUGGGAGGGUCCCAGCCCCCAUUUUCAGAUCAGGGGGUGUACGAAGUGGCAUAUUUACCUGCUACCCACACGCCCUGAGCGAGCACAGUUGUUACACAGCUGUUACCAAUAGACCUGUUAUCCUCUGCUCUGUUGUGGAUGAAGUCUCUGUGGGCACUGAGCCCGAGAGACACUGCGUUGGGGAAACAUCCCAGGUGUUCUCCAUUGCCUGUGCAGGCAAUAAAGCUUUUCUCCACCCACUUCUGCCUUGGCUGUGCUUAGAGAGGUGAACCCAUUGAGUUCGGUUACAUUCACACCUCAGCCUCCAACCAUCCCUAACACACACACACACUCACCAGCAAACAUCCCAGCCAAACUCCCAUCCUGCCUAGAGGGUCCUGGCUACCUCAGGUGACGAGGACAACUCAACGUUAGGGGUGGCUCUGCCAGCCGCACACCUCAAGAUCCACGGGGUUGCUGGUGUGGAGGAGGCGCUGGCAUGGACAGCCUUUCGGCCCCAGAGCCUUUUCUGGUCAGGGCAGCCUGCUGCUGAGGAGACCUGGCUGCAUGCCAGGCUGUGUGCCACCCUGACCUGUGUCCAGGGCCACCACUGCAUGGUCACAGACUGUUGGAGUUGGAAAGGCCCCUCAUUUCACAGGCAGAGAUGCUGUGGCCCCGCAGUCGGAUGCAGCCAUGCAAGGGAUGGAGAUUUCAAAGGCAAACCUAUGAUUGUGUUGUCAUCACUCUGCUUUGGCCUUGGGUGCCCCGGCCCUCCUUCCAGGGAGGAGAACUGUGUGAUCUCUUCUUGCUGACUCUUCUAACCGUCUGCUUACCAGUGAGAUACCCUCUAAUCACAGACCACAGAUACGCCCCAGAGGACAAGCUGGGACCCUGGCUGAGACACACUUACAAGUGGCCAUGGUCAUUGCUUCAUUGCUGGAAGCCCCCAUCCCAUCCCACCUCACCCACCCCUCCCACAGGGGGCUGUCCCUGCCUGUCGGAUCACCAUGGUGUCCCAGUUCCCUGCACAGGGCCUGCCAGGGAACCAUCGCCGUUGGAGAAUAGCCCUUUGGACACCCCUCCGGCUCCUCCACUCCUCCCCACCUUUUGCCCAAGAUUCAGACUCAGCAGGUUUGGGUAGGGCCUGAGUCCCUAAAAGCGUCCAAGUGGGUCUGCAGCCCAGCUGGCCCCACCCACCUGCACGCUGAGGUGCUGGGGUUCCAAGGCUAUCCCCCGAGGUGUCUGCAUUCCAGAAGCAAGGAUGGAUGGCCAAGAGUGGAAUUUCAGGCAGUAAGUGCAGUGGUUAUGAACCUGCGCUCAAGAAGUUCAAAUUCCUGAUCUUGACCUUGGGCAAGUCCUUAACCUGCUUGAGCCUCAGUGUCAUCUGUGGAAUGGGGAAGUAAUAGCAUCCACCUUGCAGAGUUGCCGUGAUGAUUAAGUGAGUACCUGGCAGCUAAUGUAUGUAAGUGUGAACGGUUAUUAUAAUCUGUGCUAUUUCUAGGACAGAAAUCUGUUUAGAGGUGGAAAUGUCUUUUAGUCCCUCUGAAAUCAUCUCAAAGGUGCUUUCCUCGUCUCAUGAAAGGCCAGCUCAGCUGCCUGGCCGCAACGUGGACUUUCAGAGACUAGGUGGACCCUAUGUCUGAUCUGGAUUAGACCAUCAGGGCCUUUGAAAUGUUAAUGAGGGUUGUGUUUUGACACUGCCAGUUCAAAGGGAAGCAUUAGGAAGCAGUGUUUCCCCUGGGAAGCGGGCAGGAAAGCCCUGAGGUUGGGGGGAGGGUCAGCGGGGCAGGUGGCCGCUGGUCAUCAAACCUCUACUAGGAGAGUUGGAGAAACCUGUGACAUCACCAAGUCCAAGCCCCCCAUUGUACAGAUGGAGAAAUUGAGGGUGUCACCCUCUGGUGAGGAUGCACAUCCACUGAGAAUCGGUGCCCUAGGAGGUUCCGUGCAGCUGCGGGACAUGUGUAGGGGCAGUGAAGGUGGGAUGGUGAAGCCCUUUAUGCCGUAGAAGGCACCAUGGUGGGGCCCAGGGCUAGUCAGACAGAGCUGGGGGGCAGGGCCCAUGCCUGGGGUCAAGCCCUGACCCAUAACCUCUGCCUGGCCCUUCCUUAACGGGGCAGGCCAACCUAGGCUGACCCCGAGGGAAUAUGAUGAAGAGUGGCUGUGAGGGCCCCUGGAGGCCAGUUCUGCAGCAUCCACCCCUGUUCUGUGCCCUCUUUUGGAACGUAUUUGUGCUGCCCCAAUUUCUAAGAAUUCAGAAACUCCUUCAGGGACCAAACUCAUCCCAGGAAUAAAAACUCAAUUCAGUUCUCCACUAAAACCAUUUCUUCUUUUGAAACGCUUUAUACAGAUGUUGGAUUCCAGGAAAUUCAGGUUUGAAUCCCCAUUCCACUACUUAUUGUUAAAAACAACAUGGAACAAACCUUGACUCUUAGAGCCUCAGUUUCCCCAUCUGUAAAGUAGGGAGAGUCAUCUCUGCUUUGCAGUCUUGCUGAGAAGAUUAAAUUAACUUAAUUUAUUUUAUUAAAUUUAUUUUAUUUAUUAAAUUAAAUUAAUUCAGCCACUCAUUCAACACAUUUUUCCUGAGCACCUACUAUGUGCCAGACAUCGAUGACACAGCAAUGAAUACACGAGAGAGAGACAGCAGCAUGUGCUCAUGGGGCCUUCAGAGUGAUAUCAACCAAUAGUGACCCCAAUAUCUAUGCGACCAAC
Equus asinus (donkey) is the source of this 3480-nucleotide long non-coding RNA. NCBI's taxonomy places the organism in Eukaryota, Metazoa, Chordata, Mammalia, Perissodactyla, Equidae. The record is from Ensembl.